UCAUUGCGUUACAGACAGAGCAGCUUUCCUGCCAGGAAAGUGAAGAAUUUGCUUUCAUAAUGGAGAAUGUUACCUGGUAAAUUCUGGCAGGGCAGUGUAAUACAGAAAAGUUCCAUGCUGACUAUGCUCAUGAUGGAUGUGAAGAGUUCCUGGAUGAUGAUUGGAUCUGGAACUAUCUUCCGGGUUCUUUUGAAGACCCUGACCUGGAGUUACAUGCACACUUUGGUUCUUUUUGAGAAUGGCACCCGCUCUUAGGGCCUCACAAGCGGCUGCUUUUCGAUAUACCAAGGACGUGGCGUGAAAGACUAGUGUGCCUUCAGGAUGGCGGAUUUUCGUGUCUCUGGAGGCGGGUGGACUCGGGGCCGGUGCCUCCUCAGAAAACUGGGGUGUUAUGAGAGUACAUGGAAGAAAAGCGAAGCAAAAGACUUUUAACACCAUGAAUUGGAGAGUUGUUUUGUUAUGUCUCCCCUCUCACUGUGAAACAGGACACCUCUUUUUCCCUUAUUAGAGAGAGAGAGAGAGAGAGAGAGAGAGAGAGCCUGUGGUAUUUUGAAUUACUGGGUGAAUGAGUAGUCUUUGGGAGUACUGCAAAUCUGUGUCUUUAUUGAUGCUUUGCUGCACGCUUGAGUGCUCGGUGGGGAUUGCUGAUUUUUGCUGGU
This is a long non-coding RNA of Hypanus sabinus (Atlantic stingray), 659 nucleotides long. RefSeq lists it as uncharacterized. The record is from RefSeq and is a predicted model, not a curated record. Lineage: Eukaryota; Metazoa; Chordata; Chondrichthyes; Myliobatiformes; Dasyatidae. The transcript has 3 exons.